CAUGUAAGGCGGUCUUUUAUAUGAUUGUACGAAGUCAUUUAGGUUUUAUGCUCCUUCUUAUCGUGCACGUAUUUUUAUAUCAUCGAAAUGACUAUUCCGACUUGGUUGGGUUUUAUCCGUUUAGUUUUUUCACUAAGCGAAUAUGUGAUUAAUAUUCAUACUAAGAAAAUGUGCAAGGUUUAAUGGAUUUAAGCAAUAUGUACAACAACAGAAUCGCCAUGCAGCACUGUGUUACUCCCUUAUUAAUGGCUGGGGUGGAUAUUAUAAGUAAUCGAAAUUCGAACGCACCAAAAAAGAGUGGGGCCCAGGGUUUCCUUGCGGGGGUGGCCGCGCACGAGUUUUGGCGGAAGUACGUGAACGAUCCGCUGGACGCGCGCUACACGAAGGACUUCGGCGCAGAGCUGAAGGUGACGAUGGGUGACGUGGUGGUGACGUCAGUGUGGCCAACGAGCAAGACAGUGAUGCGCCCAUGGCACUGGUUCUUCACCCUUUGGCCGGCCAGGGAUGGGGACCCGGGCAAGCCAGACAUACCAGCCACGAUGAUCCGCUUCCUGCCGACGAGGAAAACUCUUUUCGCGAGCGUCAAUCCUCAGCUCUUCAACCCGGCCAGGAAGUACCAGACAAGGGUCCUCAUGAACCGCCAGAAGAAAGCAGGACACAUCGGACUCGUGGGUGUUUUGAUCGCUUAUAUGAUGGGGCAAAAGGAGAAUAUAUACUUCAAUCCCUUUUUCUGCAGCGCGAAACACUACGUGGAGUACCUUUCUCUGGGCCAGGUCACAGGAGGACGUUGGUGGCAACCCCUGUACAACCGACUUAGCAAGAGAUGCCCUGUUAGGAACCUAGUAACCGCCGAAAUGCUGGACGACAUCUACAAGAGUAAGACUUUCACGUUGAAAGGGAAAGUUGUAGACGCGAGGGUUACACUGCAGGUUGAAAAAUGGCCAGAGGAGAUUCAAUUCUUGUACCAACAGCACAAGCAAGAGGUACAAGAAGCAGAAAAGCUAAAAAAGGGCGCCAAAGACGUGACAAUUAAAUGAGAUGCCACUAGAAUAGUUGUGAAUCAAAUAAUUUAAUUAUAUUAUUCAAAGAAUUAUCUGCUCAUGAGGUCAAACACCGAAGAACAAAGGGUGCUUACUUAACAUUCUGGAUGUAAAAAAUUGUGCGCCAACUUACAAAACGCUGAGUCAACCGCCACAGCAGUUAGCUUUACAUCUUGGCAUUGCUAAAGUAACUGCUGUGGCGGUUUUCGUGAGUUGUCGUACACUUUCUUACAUUGAGAAUGUUAAGUCAGCAUCCUUUUUCGGUGAGGUAAGUGACGCCUAGAUUCAGGAUAAUGUUUUAUAUAAUUUGAACCAAUGCAUUUGAGAUCAACCAUCGGAUCCGAAUGCCAUUUUAUUUAACUGAGUGAUUUUUCACCGACACGCAGGAGUUGGUUAUUUUAAUGUCAUUAACAACUGAUUCAUGUAGAUGCAAGGUAUGCAUUUCAAAUUAUAAAAAAUAUCAUGCCUUGUCGUUUAAAUCAUAUGGUGAAGUAAAAUUCUCUAAAAUUUAUUACAAGAUAAUUUUUUCACCCUCAACACUGUCCGUAAUAACACCUUCCGAAAAUGCAUUGCGAAUGGCGUCAUUCACGACAUCUGAGAAUAUCAUUAUUUUCUCUCCUCCCCCAUCUGAAAAUGAUGGUUAAAAAUGGUCAAAGUUUGAGCGCAUUACACUAUGCACUAUUUUCUUUCGAAUAAGAUACAAUGUGCCCAUAAUUUGCCCUUGGAUAGUGGUAUAGGUGAAUUGAAUGUCCUAUAUCAUGUUUUUCAAAUACAUCUCUGUUGAUAUUUUAUCUAGAACUUUAGCGUUUGUUUGCAUUAUAAUUUUUUUUAAAUCAUUCCUGAGACUAUCUUUGGAGUCUGACUUCGUGAUCAGGGAAAUAUACAUUCGUGCGAAAAAGAAAAGGGAGUGAUUACGCAGUAAAUUUUGCGGACUCGAGACCCUGCAUUUUAGUAACAUUAUACUUUUCCGUACAUCUACUAUAUUCGAGCAGCACAGCAAAUUUCAGUACUUUGGGAAACGAACCAAUUUUCACUGCAAAGAAGCCAUGCAUAUACCCUCUAAGCUUGAACUCAAAGAUUAUGUUCGUUCCUUUUACGUUAUAUUUGCGAUUAGUUUAAUUUUUAAUACAGGAGUGCUUUCUGUAUACGUGAUGAUGCAUUUUGUAUUGGGCUUAAGAGCCAGAUACACCUGCGCGCAACACGCGCGUCUUGACCCGAAAAGUAGGAUCCGAUCCUACUUUGAGCGAGUUACGAGUAGCAAGCUGCGACCUGAUUGGCUACGAAGAUCGCCGAACACGGCCGAAGGCCUACUCGCCGCUCAAGACGCGCGUAUAGCUCGCAGGUGUAUCUGCCCCUUUACGUUCACUUUGUCGAAAAAUAUGUGCACCUACAUUCUUGUCACUAGAUUAAAAUUUGGCUAAAACCAGAGCUACAGACGUAUUUGAACUCUUUAAGUUGCUCAAAUUUCUUAGAAUUGAUGAAAUGAUAGAUGUAUUAAGUGCUCAUAGAUCAUAUGUAAGCCUGCCUAGAGCUAAGCUUUUAGUAUAAGGUUAAAUGGUUUAUUUAAAUGUUCUUAAUUUUAUAUAUUUUAUGGUUUUUAGGUUUUUCAAUUUAUUUUAGAAUUACAAACUUAACCCCCCCCCCCCAACUCAUAUAAUGACAAUCGCCUAUGGGGUCUGUGCUUAGGAGAUGUUCAAAAACAAUACGUAAGUUUGAAAUUGGAUGUAAUGACUUCAUUCCCCCCUUUUCUCGUUGUACAUUCGUAGCACUGGUCUACAUCUUCCUAGAAAGAAAGUAACGCUUUGAUCGACCCCCCCCCCCUUCCCCUCAAAUUGGCAUUUUGCAAUGGAUUAUUGCUGGAACAUUGCCACUUCACGACAACUUUUCAUCCUAAAUUUUGAAAAAAUCGGAUCUACGUGCUCAUUCUAGCGUUACGUAAAGUAACUCCGAACACCUGCCCUCACCUGUUAUGCACCCAUAACGUAGACGUAGACCCCUCCUUCCCUCUUAGAUCGUUACGUGUUUUAUGUGUGUUAGAAGCUUUAUGACUGUUGUAAGACUAUUAAAAUGUACACCUUUAUUAAAUAAGGAAAACAUACCUUUGUUGAUUUAAAACGUAGAAAUGAGAGAUGGGGAGAGAGACAGAGACAGCAGUGGCGCGGCGUGCUUUGCAAUAUAUCGAUUGAUCUGCCAUUUAAACCAAUGGAAAAGGAUCGAUAAACAGGGUGUUCGCAACGAACACCUUAAUAAUCGAUUCUUUACCAUAGCUUAAAUGGGGAAAUAUCGAUAAUCGAUCAUUCACGCCUCGCCUCUAGGAGACAGAAAGGUAAACGAGAGCAAACAAAAAACAUCAAAAUUGAAACAUCAAAAUAAAUUGAAAUGGGGUGAACUUCAUCCACUAAGGAAGGCACUUUUUUCAUAGAUGGUUACAUGAAUCGAAAAUGAGUCUUUAAACCAACGAAAUAACGACCGCGCCUUCAAUUUUUGUGAAUACGCAACACAAACGGCUGAUGAGCACGAAUAGUUGCAUUGGCUCUGGUAGAACUUCAUAAAUUAACUAUCGUGUUUAAUAAGUCCUUAAUUGAUUUAUUACCGGUCAAUAACUAAAUUUCAAUAAAGUAACACAACUUACUCACGAAGCAUUGGUACAUCGACGGUGUAAGUCGGCAAUCACAUAACUCGUUUGUGGUGUCUGAAAAUCUCCGCCUCUAUGUUAUUUCUUUAGAGGAGAACAAAUUGACAUCAUCUCUUGAAGUUUUUGCAGAAUUUUCUUCACAUAGAGAAGGAAAAUCGCGACAGUUUUAAAGAAUUGCCGUUGAGUAGUUUUCCGUUUAAAAAACAAAGUACCUAUGAAAGGAAGUCUAUGACGUUGAAAACCGAGUUCCGUGAUUGCCGACUUAUACCGUCGACAUGCAAUUAUGUAAGUUUGCUUUUGGUUUGAAACAAGAGUUCGAUAAUAGGUAUAUCGAAUGAUGUAGUCACUAUACCUGUCUAUUACCUGAAGAUUUUGUUGAAUUUCGUCCCUCCAUUAUUAUACCCUCGGAAAACGCAUCGACACAGUUUACUCUGAAGUUUUAAAUCAUGAGGGCAAGGCAAAGCGGCAAGAAGGCGAAACGGGUGCCGUAACUUCACCACGCAACGAUGCAGCAGUGUCGUUCGGCGGCAACUUGGUCUAAUUUUCAGCUCAAGGUGGAUUGACAAAACCUCGGAGCGG
RNAcentral lists this long non-coding RNA (4254 nucleotides) under Bemisia tabaci. RNAcentral describes it as "lncRNA ENSSSA1NGG010533". The record is from RNAcentral. Lineage: Eukaryota; Metazoa; Arthropoda; Insecta; Hemiptera; Aleyrodidae.